RNAcentral lists this non-coding RNA (29 nucleotides) under Macaca fascicularis (crab-eating macaque). The record is from RNAcentral. RNAcentral also lists the same sequence under 1 other name. Lineage: Eukaryota; Metazoa; Chordata; Mammalia; Primates; Cercopithecidae.
UUCCAUCUAAUAGGAAUGCCAGUUUGCCU